Callithrix jacchus (white-tufted-ear marmoset) is the source of this 95-nucleotide small nucleolar RNA. Its record names the gene SNORD116. It matches the Rfam family "Small nucleolar RNA SNORD116". Rfam says of the family: HBII-85 is a member of the C/D class of snoRNAs, which contain the C (UGAUGA) and D (CUGA) box motifs. HBII-85 is encoded in a tandemly repeated array with another C/D snoRNA, HBII-52, in the Prader-Willi syndrome (PWS) region of chromosome 15. Lineage: Eukaryota; Metazoa; Chordata; Mammalia; Primates; Cebidae. The record is from Ensembl.
GGAUCGAUGAUGAGUCCUACAAAAAAACAUUCCUUGGAAAAGCUGAACAAAAUGAGUGAAAGCUCAUACUGGCACUCUCGUCGGAACUGAGGUCC